Molecule: non-coding RNA, 2925 nt
Organism: Phacochoerus africanus (Common warthog)
Lineage: Eukaryota; Metazoa; Chordata; Mammalia; Artiodactyla; Suidae
Source: the annotation of a RefSeq genome assembly
GCUGCAGGGCCCGGGGCUCUGGGGAAAGCUGCCUCGGGUGAGCUCAGGGCCAAGCCAGGAGCCCCGGUGGAGGAGGGACCGGUGGGCCCAGAGGCCCAGAUUUGGAGCCUGGGCCUGGGCCAGAGGGAUGGCAGGGGAGGGGCCUCGGAGGAGACUGCCUCCCCUCGCCCAGGCAAAGGGGCAUGUUGGUGCCAGGGACCAACGCGCACGGGCCUUGACUGCAGAGCUGACCCAGAGGAACAGGGCCUGGAGAGCAAACAGCAGGCCGGGACCAGGGGCCAGGAGCAGAGCAUGGGCAGUGGGUGGCAGUGGGUGGCAGUGUCCCUGCCAGGCUGGGGAAGCAGGACGGUGGCCUCAGGGGACCAGCAGAAGCUGGCCAGGAACACAGGCCACCCGCUGGUCGGGACAGGCACCCACAGGGGCUCUGGGCCCUGGCGGGGUCUCAUCCAGGCACUCACCCAGCUCUGACCAGGCAGCUGCGUCCAGAACCUGCAGCUGCAAUGGCAGCGAGCUGGGCGGCUGGUCUGCGGACUUUCUGGAAGCAAGUGGGUGCUGGGCGCAGCAGCCCCGCUGUUCUGGGGGCCCGAUUCGCUGCCCGCCCCACAAGGAACAAGGCCCUGGCGGUCACGCAGCCUCCUCUCUUCCAGCCCCCAAGACGGCCCCAUCGGUCUACCCUCUGGCCCCCUGCGGCAGGGACACGUCUGGCCCUAACGUGGCCUUGGGCUGCCUGGCCUCAAGCUACUUCCCCGAGCCAGUGACCGUGACCUGGAACUCGGGCGCCCUGACCAGUGGCGUGCACACCUUCCCAUCCGUCCUGCAGCCGUCAGGGCUCUACUCCCUCAGCAGCAUGGUGACCGUGCCGGCCAGCAGCCUGUCCAGCAAGAGCUACACGUGCAAUGUCAACCACCCGGCCACCAGCACCAAGGUGGACAAGCGUGUUGGAAGACCAUGUCCCAUAUGCCCAGCCUGUGAAUCACCAGGGCCCUCGGUCUUCAUCUUCCCUCCAAAACCCAAGGACACCCUCAUGAUCUCCCGGACACCCCAGGUCACGUGCGUGGUGGUAGAUGUCAGCCAGGAGAACCCGGAGGUCCAGUUCUCCUGGUACGUGGACGGCGUAGAGGUGCACACGGCCCAGACGAGGCCAAAGGAGGAGCAGUUCAACAGCACCUACCGCGUGGUCAGCGUCCUGCCCAUCCAGCACCAGGACUGGCUGAACGGGAAGGAGUUCGAGUGCAAGGUCAACAACAAAGACCUCCCAGCCCCCAUCACGAAGACCAUCUCCAAGGCCAAAGGGCAGAUACAGGAGCCACAGGUGUACACCCUGCCCCCACCCACCGAGGAGCUGUCCAGGAGCAAAGUCAGCGUAACCUGCCUGGUCAUUGGCUUCUACCCACCUGACAUCGAUGUGGAGUGGCAAAGAAACGGACAUCCGGAGCCAGAGGGCAAUUACCGCACCACCCCGCCCCAGCAGGACGUCGACGGGACCUACUUCCUGUACAGCAAGCUCACGGUGGACAAGCCCAGGUGGCAGCAUGGAGACACAUUCCAGUGUGCAGUGAUGCACGAGGCUCUGCACAACCACUACACCCAGAAGUCCAUCUCCAAGACUCCGGAACUGCUCCUGGAGGAGAGCUGUGCCGACGCCCAGGACGGGGAGCUGGACGGGCUCUGGACCACCAUCUCCAUCUUCAUCACGCUCUUCCUGCUCAGCGUGUGCUACAGCGCCACCGUGACGCUCUUCAAGGUGAAGUGGAUCUUCUCGUCGGUGGUGGAGCUGAAGCGCACCAUUGUCCCCGACUACAGAAACAUGAUCGGGCAGGGGGCCUAGGGCGCCCUCCAGGGCGGCCAGGGCCGCCCCACACCCGACAGGACCGCGUCCGUCAGCUCAAGCUGCUCCGCCUGCGCCAGGCCUGCCUCCGCCCUCUGACCUCGCCCGCACCUCUGGCUCUCGGCCACCUGGCCCGCACCUCCGCCCUCGGGCCUGGCGGCCCCCUCAGAAGGCGCCCCGCACCCCCACCGCCCCUCGGAAGCCCGAGUGGGCAGCAGCUCGGGCCCCGACCUGACUUGAUGGACACCCACCACCACCAGCCCCCGCCAGAGCCACGGGACACCGCCGGGGCCACGUGUCCUCACCAGGAACGCCCGGCUCAGCCAGCGGGUCCAGCCGGCCACGAGGAGACCGGCGUCCAGCGGCUGACGGGACAGGGCCCAGGCUCCCUGUGGACCCCGUCCAGACCGGGCUCCAGAGGCAGGGCCCCCGACAGGAGGCUCCUGUGUCACAGCCUGGAGUGGGAACAGCUGCCCCCAACGCCAGCGUCUCCCAGCGGGGAAGUUCCCAGACAGGCCACCAACAGGCGCUCAGGUCAUCUCCAGCCCAGGGCACUCGAGGGAAGAGGACCUGGGCCCGAGGCCACGGCAGGAGCCCCGGUGGGGACAGAGCAGCCCUGCCCAGGGAAGCGGUGAGGUGCCGCCAGACUGGCCUCCUGGAGGGAGUCCCGCUGGCUCGGACCCCCGCGGGCAGGACAGGCCCCACUGGACACAGGUGGGGGUAGACAGGCCUACCAGUGUACAGGGGCAGCCAGACCAUCCCGAGGUCCUCGGCCUGAGUCACGUCCAUCUGUCCAUCCAUCCAUCCAGCAGGAGCUCCGUCCACCAGCCCCAGAGCUGGGUGAGAGGUGAGACCCCCAGGAGCGAGCCCCAGGCCCCGGACCCCCCAAGCCGGCCCCGCACUAACUCUCCCGCCCUGUCUCUACGGGAACCCCAAGUGGGUUCAUGGCAUCCGGGGAGCAGCCUCGGGACUGGGAGGGAAGGCUCAUCUGCCAAGCUGUGGUCGCUCUUUCUCCUUGGUGAGUGUCUGGAGCCCAGGCACUCUCCUCACUGUUGCUCUCAUUUUUCACGGCAAUAAACCACUUUUACAACCCCUCA